Molecule: ribosomal RNA, 460 nt
Filed under: uncultured bacterium
Lineage: Bacteria
Description: partial 16S ribosomal RNA
Rfam family: Bacterial small subunit ribosomal RNA
Source: RNAcentral
CCUACGGGUGGCAGCAGUGAGGAAUAUUGGUCAAUGGGCGCGAGCCUGAACCAGCCAAGUCGCGUGAGGGAGGACGGUCCUACGGAUUGUAAACCUCUUUUGCCGGGGAGCAACGGGCGCCACGUGUGGCGUCACUGAGAGUACCCGGAGAAAAAGCAUUGGCUAACUCCGUGCCAGCAGCCGCGGUAAUACGGAGGAUGUGAGCGUUAUCCGGAUUUAUUGGGUUUAAAGGGUGCGUAGGCGGAUCGUUAAGUCAGUGGUCAAAUUGAGGGGCUCAACCCCUUCCCGCCGUUGAAACUGGCGUACUUGAGUGGGAGAGAAGUAUGCGGAAUGCGUGGUGUAGCGGUGAAAUGCAUAGAUAUCACGCAGAACCCCGAUUGCGAAGGCAGCAUGCCGGCUUCCGACUGACGCUGAAGCACGAAAGCGUGGGGAUCGAACAGGAUUAGAUACCCGGGUAGUC